CACGCCCCUCGUGGGAAAUACACGCCCCUCGUGGGAAAUACACGCCCCUCGUGUGAAAUACACGCCUAUACAGAGUAGGGUCGGGGGCGUAGUCGGCCCUGAUUGGUCUGAUUCACGACGGCGUCUCUUCUCUUGUCGAACCUACUCCGGAGAUGUAACGAACUGGUCAACAGCAGACAGCAGAAAGAUGAUUGCCUCGAUUGAUUUGGUAAGUGGACUGCAUUAUCAGUCAGAGAUCGUAUACUGUCAUUGUUCUUGGUGUAGUUCUACUUUAAAUGUUCAUGUACACUCACAGCGUAAUAAUGUGUCGUCAAUCCAACCACAAAUUGGCUGCGUUUUUGGGAUGUCUCUGCUAACUUUUCUUUUAUGUUGAUAUUGCUUAAGCUUAACAGUUGUUGCUUUUCAUGUUACCUAUUUAAUUGUUAAGUACCGCGUUUGAUGCCGUGUUGGUUUUUGUCGCAAUAUACUCUCACUGGUUUGUAUUGAUUUGAUUAUCAUCAUUUCGCCGUGUUACCGAUUUGAAGUUGUCAUCCCAUGGCUAUGUGGUUAGCCCCUGACUUGCCUAGUUUCCCACAACUCAUUUUGGAAGGUGGUCACGUUCCCCUGACUUGCCAAAGUUAAAGUCGUUACUAGGCAAUCACGUUCCCCUGAUUUGCCUAGUUUCCUUUUAUGUUUUGCAUCUUUCUCACUUUGCUGUCUAACCUGACAACUGUACAAUGCUUGUCAUCAAAUUUGUAUUAGGGUUGUUGCGCAACAAUUGAUGCCAGGCACCUGGACCGAGGAGACUGGCUUGGACAUUGAGGUAAUAAUUGCUGAGAUAACAAGCACAUCAGGAAAAUGUGUGUAGGGCUAUGACUGUUCAUCUUACAACCUGUUUUAUGGCACAGGGUGUUCCACAACAACUAUAUGGCAUCGACUGUGGAGUCUUUAUGGUCAUGUACUCCUGGUACAUUACCAUGGACGCGCACUUCGAUUUCAACGUUUUGGAUAUGCCUCAUCUCAGGAGGUGGUGGUGCAAGCUCCUUUUGGACAACUACGGGAUUGAAGGGUAUGGAUCUUAACCUACAAAUGCAAAAUAAAUACAUUUUUCAUGUUGGCUUGGCAACCCUGUGUGUGUGUGUGUGUGUGUGUGUGUGUGUGUGUGUGUGUGUGUGUGUGUGUGUGUGUGUGUGUGUGUGUGUGUGUGUGUGUGUGUGUGUGUGUGUGUGUGUGUGUGUGCGC
Gadus macrocephalus (Pacific cod) is the source of this 1221-nucleotide long non-coding RNA. RefSeq lists it as uncharacterized. Lineage: Eukaryota; Metazoa; Chordata; Actinopteri; Gadiformes; Gadidae. The record is from RefSeq and is a predicted model, not a curated record. The transcript is spliced from 3 exons.